Oncorhynchus tshawytscha (Chinook salmon) is the source of this 205-nucleotide long non-coding RNA. RefSeq lists it as uncharacterized. Lineage: Eukaryota; Metazoa; Chordata; Actinopteri; Salmoniformes; Salmonidae. The transcript has 3 exons. The record is from RefSeq and is a predicted model, not a curated record.
CUGAAGUGCCACAACAAAUGUACCAAAGAAGCCCCACCUUGCCAUUUACUGAUCAUCCAAAGAGGAGGAGGAAGUAACCCCCUCAAAGAUCACCAAGGAAAUCAAGCUCGUUUGGUACGGACUGAAUCGGUACCAUGUGACAUCAACAACCCGCUCAGGUACACAGACCUGCACAUCAGUCAGACGCUGCCCAAAACCAACAAAA